Long non-coding RNA from Lepidothrix coronata (blue-crowned manakin), 105 nucleotides. RefSeq lists it as uncharacterized. The record is from RefSeq and is a predicted model, not a curated record. Lineage: Eukaryota; Metazoa; Chordata; Aves; Passeriformes; Pipridae. The transcript has 3 exons.
GAAGAUGCAAGCGAUUUGGGACCUUGAACAAGGCAAAUAUGGUUUUGUGUCUUUUGGCCAUUUGUACCGGGAGACUGACUCGGAGUCCCGGUAUCGGAAAAGCAC